UACGAAGGGGGCUAGCGUUGCUCGGAAUCACUGGGCGUAAAGGGCGCGUAGGCGGCUGAUUUAGUCGAGGGUGAAAGCCUGUGGCUCAACCACAGAAUUGCCUUCGAUACUGGUUGGCUUGAGACCGGAAGAGGACAGCGGAACUGCGAGUGUAGAGGUGAAAUUCGUAGAUAUUCGCAAGAACACCAGUGGCGAAGGCGGCUGUCUGGUCCGGUUCUGACGCUGAGGAGCGAAAGCGUGGGGAGCGAACAGG
Molecule: ribosomal RNA, 253 nt
Filed under: uncultured bacterium
Lineage: Bacteria
Description: partial 16S ribosomal RNA
Rfam family: Bacterial small subunit ribosomal RNA
Source: RNAcentral